This 497-nucleotide ribosomal RNA is filed under the name uncultured bacterium. RNAcentral's name for it is "partial 16S ribosomal RNA". It matches the Rfam family "Bacterial small subunit ribosomal RNA", at positions 28 to 507 of the family's 1533-position model. The record is from RNAcentral.
GAUGAACGCUGGCGGCGUGCCUAAUACAUGCAAGUCGAGCGAACGGACGAGAAGCUUGCUUCUCUGAUGUUAGCGGCGGACGGGUGAGUAACACGUGGAUAACCUACCUAUAAGACUGGGAUAACUUCGGGAAACCGGAGCUAAUACCGGAUAAUAUUUUGAACCGCAUGGUUCAAAAGUGAAAGACGGUCUUGCUGUCACUUAUAGAUGGAUCCGCGCUGCAUUAGCUAGUUGGUAAGGUAACGGCUUACCAAGGCAACGAUGCAUAGCCGACCUGAGAGGGGGAUCGGCCACCCUGGAACGGAGACACGGUCCAGACGCCUACGGGAGGCAGCAGUAGGGAAUCUUCCGCAAUGGGCGAAAGCAUGACGGAGCAACGCCGCGUGAGUGAUGAAGGUCUUCGGAUCGUAAAACUCUGUUAUUAGGGAAGAACAUAUGUGUAAGUAACUGUGCACAUCUUGACGGUACCUAAUCAGAAAGCCACGGCUAACUACGUG